RNAcentral lists this transfer RNA (96 nucleotides) under Dermatophilus congolensis. RNAcentral describes it as "tRNA-Sec". It matches the Rfam family "Selenocysteine transfer RNA". Lineage: Bacteria; Bacillati; Actinomycetota; Actinomycetes; Micrococcales; Dermatophilaceae. RNAcentral also lists the same sequence under 1 other name. The record is from RNAcentral.
GGAGGGGUAAGAGAUCCUGGUGGGCUCCCCGGUCUUCAAAACCGGUGAGGCCGAGCACCUCGGCCUGGCGGGUUCGAUUCCCGUCCCCCUCCGCCA